UCGAAGGCACGACCACAUUAAGCCGGCACACGACAAUCACUUAAAACGGGACACAUAUUAGACGACGCUUAAAACGGACGGACACCGACACAAUGGACCGACACAACGACAAUGACGAGAACCACGAGAUCAACAGCCGACGAUUCACAUCCCACCGCGGAGGCGGAGCACCAGAUGGAGGGUGGACUCCUUCUGAAUAUUGUAGUCGGCGAGCGUCCUGCCGUCCUCAAGCUGCUUCCCGGCGAAGAUCAGCCUCUGCUGGUCCGGCGGAAUCCCCUCCUUGUCCUGGAUCUUCGCCUUCA
This 302-nucleotide long non-coding RNA is filed under the name Phoenix dactylifera (date palm). Its description in RNAcentral is "long non-coding RNA (PDAC_LNC005615)". The record is from RNAcentral. Lineage: Eukaryota; Viridiplantae; Streptophyta; Magnoliopsida; Arecales; Arecaceae.